Ascosphaera pollenicola is the source of this 92-nucleotide non-coding RNA. The record is from the annotation of a GenBank genome assembly. Lineage: Eukaryota; Fungi; Ascomycota; Eurotiomycetes; Onygenales; Ascosphaeraceae.
GGUUGUAUAGUGUAGUGGUUAGCACAUCGGAUUUUGAUAGCAUCAAAUAUCAAAGCCUUCCGAUAACCUGGGUUCGAGUCCCGGUACGACCU